CAAUGCUGAUGAGACCCGAACAAGUCGAAACAGCUGUCCAGUGC
RNAcentral lists this non-coding RNA (44 nucleotides) under Echinostoma caproni. The record is from RNAcentral. Lineage: Eukaryota; Metazoa; Platyhelminthes; Trematoda; Plagiorchiida; Echinostomatidae.